ACACACACACACACACACACUCCUUUGUGCACAGAGGAAUACAAACACACCCUCUCUCACACACACUCACACAAAUACACCUAAUCCUACCCCCAUGGACACCCAAACUAAAUUGUUAGCCUGGAGCAGCAAACUUGCCUCUGUCACUUUUAGAAGCAGCUGAAUAUCAGUCCAUCCUGCUUGGAAUAACAAUCACUAUUACAAGGGCCAUGGUUAGCAGCGAUUGCAGCGACAUAGACUUUAAGAGUGGAGGGAGACAGUCAUCGCUCCAGCACUUGCUGCAAAAAGGAAAGCAUAACCCUGAUCAGGCAUCUCGGAGGGUGUUCUCGACAAGAAGAACACCACUCGAUGAACAGGUUCCACUUUCUCAUAGAUGGUGCUCUCACAAAAGUGAUGAUGUCCACUACCUCUUGGGGUAGGUCACCAAGAACCUCCGCAUGAGGUCUGGACGCGGGUGCCACAGGGUGCCCCGUCUCUAAAUCAGUAGAUCCUCAGAGGAAUCCGCCAGGGAGGGGCUGUUGUGAGGAGCACUAAUUCGGGGAACCAGGUGAGAGUUGGCCAAUAUGGUGCCACAAGCAAAACCUGCUCCUCGUCCUCCCUGAAUUUGCACAGCGACUGUGCGAGAAGGCUCACUGGGGGGAACUCAUUAUUGCGCAGGCCCCGUGGCCAGCAGUGUGCCAGUGCAUCUGUGCCGAGUGUUUCCUUGGUCAGGGAAUAGAACAACUGCUAGUGAGAGGUUUCUGGAGAGGCAAACAGGUCUACCUGAGCGGCUCCUAAAUGUCUCCAAAUCAGCUGGACCACCCGGGGAUGGAUUCGCCACUCUCCCAGAAGCGUUGCUCGAGACAGCUCGUUGGCCAUACGGUUGAGCAGGCCCAGAAUAUGAAUGGCCUGAAGUUAAUUGCUUAUAAACAUAUUCAUGGCUAAAGUCUGAAAACAAUAUUCAGUACAAACUGGGGUACAGUAAUAUGUAAAUAGCAUGUACGUACAUGUGUCAUGAUCCUGGUUUCUUCUCCUCUUUCUCUGUCUCCCUCUUGUGGUCACACACUCACUCGCACACUCACUCACACAAUCACGCACACACAUCCACUCCUCCGCUCAUUAUCUCUUUCAGCUGUUUCCCCUUUCGUUCCCUUCUCCUCACCUGUCCCCUUUUUUCCUCUUGAUUGUCUCUGCUUCUUAUUCCCUGUUCCUAGCCCUGUCUUGUUGUCGGAUUAUUCAAUGACCUCUCGUGAGAAACGUCUGUUCUCUAGUUCUGUCCUGUCUUGGCCGUGGAAAGUGAAAUCAUAAUUUCUGCUGUGAGUUCGACUGCCAUUGGACUGUGUAUUAUCCAGCUGUGCCUGUUUGCAGAGUACCUGUUCAGCGCCCGCCCUUGGCUGUUCACCCUGUCUGCUGUCUUCACUAUUUCUGACUGGCUGAAUGCAUCUCAGGGUCCCUGCCUCUGUCCUCGUGGAAGUUUAUGCAGAUUUUCUUAGAUCCAGUCAUCUGGCAGUUUCUGUUCUGGCUCUGAUUAAUGCCUGUGAUUUGUGUUCUAAUUAUUCAGUGAAGACAAUUUACUUUAUUCAUUAAAGACUGUUAACUGCAUCCCGCCCUGGUCUUCCAUCGUUCCUACCCUAAGAGAAUAAUCCGACCAGAAGAUGGACCAGGCGAGUGGUAACCCCCUUCACAAUGCUGUAGAGCUCCAGGGUGCUCUGCUGGGUAAACAUGAGGAAGAUUUAUCCACCGCGAGACGUGCCGUUGAUUCCCUGACCACCCAGCUCUCGGAUCUAACCCAGCAGUUCCAUCACUACCGUCAUGAAACCACUGCUUCAGUUGGACAGCGUGACUCUUCUGAGCCAUGUAUAAACAACCCGCCGUGCUACUCUGGCGAGCCUUCCUCACCCAAUGCGAGGUUG
This is a long non-coding RNA of Cyprinus carpio (common carp), 1892 nucleotides long. RefSeq lists it as uncharacterized. The record is from RefSeq and is a predicted model, not a curated record. The transcript has 3 exons. Lineage: Eukaryota; Metazoa; Chordata; Actinopteri; Cypriniformes; Cyprinidae.